Spea bombifrons (plains spadefoot toad) is the source of this 436-nucleotide long non-coding RNA. RefSeq lists it as uncharacterized. The record is from RefSeq and is a predicted model, not a curated record. The transcript has 2 exons. NCBI's taxonomy places the organism in Eukaryota, Metazoa, Chordata, Amphibia, Anura, Pelobatidae.
UUGCUACUUGCCCUUCAAGCCGCAAUUACCACCUCGGCGGCAGAGAAAGGGACUAAGAUGCUCACCCCAAUAAAGGAGUCUCAGACUGUUUCAAAAUUACCAGAUCUUGCCGUGGAACAGAGAGAAUCAUUGGCUUCCUAAGAACUUCCCACAGAAGAAGCUGUCGAACAAAUUUGUCUUAUGUCAUCAUUGCCUGUGGGAGAUGAAUGCAGAAGUGGCCCAGUUAGAAGAGACAAACGUGGAGCACAGCACAAAACCUAAAUUGUACCCCCUACCAUGCAAUAGUUCUGUAGCUUAUAAGAAUAUGUGAUAACCUAGUCAUUGAUAAUAAAAUCAUAAAAAUAUUAAACGUUUUGAGACUGCGUGUUGUCUAUUGGAAAUUGACAUGUGUGUUCCAUGUACAGUUGUGUAAAAUAGAAAGUUUACACUCUUUGAA